GCCAUUUAAGUCACCGCGGAGGAAGAGUAAAAAAAAAGCGUUUGUUUUAUGAUACAGCUGGUACCGGAUGCGCCUCAGAGGUAUCUUUUAACCUUAAAAGACGGGCUGUUUUGCUGCAUAGCUGGAGCCCCAUAGAGGCUAUUACAAACGGGGCCACUCUCUAUUCACCGAGAGAGGGGAGAGCAGCGCUGGUGGAAGAGGCGGGAGGGGGGGAGGGGGGGGGGGGGGGGGUGCUGAGGAGGAGGGCGAGGGAUGAAGGGAGGAAGGAGGGAGUGUGGGAGAGGAGAAACGUGUAAUCACCCAAACAACCAUUUUUACCCAUUUCACCCCCUCUGGAUCUGUGGCGCAAGUGCGCCGCCGGCUUAUGCGCGCCUCCGCUGCGGAUACGCCGACGUGAGGCCGGACCCCGCGGAAGACGCCGAGAGGAUGAAGACGGAAGUGAGGUUCGGCUCGAGACGAGCGCUCCCGCUCGCAACCGCCGGGACCUCGCUCCGUCAAAGCAAGAUCACAUCUCUUGCACAGGCUCAGGCAACUGGUUUCCUCACAGUAAACUCAACUUACCUGGGCUUACAGUGCGGGGUCCUAUGCUACAGUCUCCUGAGGUCAGUACUGGAAUGCAUCGAUGUGGGUGGUUCUCCUCACGUCGGCUGCCAUCAAUGUCAUAUUGAGAGUGUGAGCGCGACAGAGACAGAGACAAUAAUGUCUGAUUUGGACUGGAGGAGGAAAUCAAAGCCAAUCACAGAGCUCCCUCUCCACUUAUUGACUCUUUUUUUGUAAACAUCAAGAUGAGGAUAUUGAUUAUUGAGAGUGUUGACUUCUUCUCACUUGUCCUUGUCAUUUAUUUGUUGUUGUGCUUCACAUGUCAUUUGCCAGAAUUAGGGGAAAUUAUUCAGAUUCUCCAAGUUAAAUGAACUUUUUUUGUGUUGUUUUUUUGCUGUAUAUACAGUCUGUUUAUCUUCAUCUAAACUGGACCAGGUGUGUUUUGUUGGUCAGAUUAUUAAUACGUUACACCAGUGCUUUGACCACAUCCCUGCGCUAGUUGAGAGCUGGUGAUCUCAUCAAAGCGCUCGUUGCAAGGAGGCUGUCGAGGCUCCGAGCGCCGCACGCGUCGCCGCCGAGCCUGGCGAAAUGCAAAUGUCAAGUGACACUCGACAAGUCUGUGAUUAGGGUUUAAUAGAGAAAAAUGUGAGGCGAGGAUAUUAGCCUAACUAAGACACAUCAGCUGGCUCUUCUGGAGGCGCCCCGCCCCAUCUCUUCACAUCACCUUGUUUCAGCAGGGGACUAAUAUGAGCGGGACUGAAAACCAGAAAUGAUCUGAGCUGCACAAGGAGCAAACAGAGCAUGUGAAGGGGUGUUGUGUCCGCUUGUUAGAUGUUUGCACUCAUUUAAAUCAAAUCUACUGUAGCCUUUAAUGCUUCUACAGACCUUAUAGCAGCAAGGUCGUGAUUGGUCAAAUGACACGAGGAGGGAGCGUGCAGAAGAGUCCCACGAGCGCUCCUCCCAGACGAAGGUCAGCACUUAGUGAGCCGCCGCUGUCACCAGCCAAUCGCCCGGCUGCAAAUCUCCUCUGAAAUUUAAAAAAUUUAAUUUGUCACCAUGUUUCUAUCA
Molecule: long non-coding RNA, 1608 nt
Filed under: Betta splendens (Siamese fighting fish)
Lineage: Eukaryota; Metazoa; Chordata; Actinopteri; Anabantiformes; Osphronemidae
Description: lncRNA (ENSBSLG00000016931.1)
Source: RNAcentral